AGCCAUUUGAAUCUAGUCUACUCAGUGAGAUAAGAUUUUAUCUGAAAUAGGUAUGUAUUGGACCUAGCUCAAUCUCCUCACUACACCAUCAUGUGUCCUCCAGCUGACUGUCUCGAUAUCUUUGAUCGCAUAGCUCAAUCCAUCUGAUAGAUGAACAGUGCCCUCACUGUUCUCUAUGAAGUCAAAUAGCUCCUCUCUAUAACAAACAUGAUGAGUGCA
This 219-nucleotide long non-coding RNA is filed under the name Elaeis guineensis (African oil palm). Its description in RNAcentral is "long non-coding RNA (EGUI_LNC042007)". The record is from RNAcentral. Lineage: Eukaryota; Viridiplantae; Streptophyta; Magnoliopsida; Arecales; Arecaceae.